AGUGAACGCUGGCGGUAGGCCUAACACAUGCAAGUCGAACGGCAGCACAGUAGAGCUUGCUCUUACGGGUGGCGAGUGGCGGACGGGUGAGGAAUACAUCGGAAUCUACUUUUUCGUGGGGGAUAACGUAGGGAAACUUACGCUAAUACCGCAUACGACCUACGGGUGAAAGCAGGGGAUCUUCGGACCUUGCGCGAUUGAUUGAGCCGAUGUCGGAUUAGCUAGUUGGCGGGGUAAAGGCCCACCAAGGCGACGAUCCGUAGCUGGUCUGAGAGGAUGAUCAGCCACACUGGAACUGAGACACGGUCCAGACUCCUGCGGGAGGCAGCAGUGGGGAAUAUUGGACAAUGGGCGCAAGCGUGAUCCAGCCAUACCGCGUGGGUGAAGAAGGCCUUCGGGUUGUAAAGCCCUUUUGUUGGGAAAGAAAAGCAGCAGGUUAAUACCCCGCUGUUCUGACGGUACCCAAAGAAUAAGCACCGGCUAACUUCGUG
Molecule: ribosomal RNA, 491 nt
Filed under: uncultured bacterium
Lineage: Bacteria
Description: partial 16S ribosomal RNA
Rfam family: Bacterial small subunit ribosomal RNA
Source: RNAcentral